UACGUAGGGGCGAGCGUUGUCCGGAAUUACUGGGCGUAAAGAGCGUGUAGGCGGGUACUUAAGUCAGGUGUGAAAGACCGGGGCUCAACUCCGGGGUUGGCACUUGAAACUGGGUAUCUUGAGGGCAGGAGAGGAAAGCGGAAUUCCUGGUGUAUCGGUGAAAUGCGUAGAUAUCAGGAGGAACACCGGUGGCGAAGGCGGCUUUCUGGACUGACCCUGACGCUGAGACGCGAAAGCGUGGGGAGCAAACAGGAUUAGAUACCCUGGUAGUCCCUGAGCGGG
Molecule: ribosomal RNA, 282 nt
Filed under: uncultured prokaryote
Description: partial 16S ribosomal RNA
Rfam family: Bacterial small subunit ribosomal RNA
Source: RNAcentral